Molecule: ribosomal RNA, 253 nt
Filed under: uncultured bacterium
Lineage: Bacteria
Description: partial 16S ribosomal RNA
Rfam family: Bacterial small subunit ribosomal RNA
Source: RNAcentral
UACGGAGGGGUGCAAGCGUUGUCCGGAAUCAUUGGGCGUAAAGAGCGCGUAGGCGGCCCUGUAAGUCCGCUGUGAAAGUCAAGGGCUCAACCCUUGGAUGCCGGUGGAUACUGCAGGGCUAGAGUCCGGAAGAGGCGAGUGGAAUUCCUGGUGUAGCGGUGAAAUGCGCAGAUAUCAGGAGGAACACCGAUGGCGAAGGCAGCUCGCUGGGACGGUACUGACGCUGAGGCGCGAAAGCGUGGGGAGCAACAGG